AGCUUGGUGACUCGCCUCGUAAUCUCUUCAGGCCCGAAACCACAUCAUGUAAUAUAAGUUUUGUCCCAAGCGUCACUCGAACCGGCGACCUCUAAACUUUGCCUAAGAUCUUUACCAAUUGAGCUAACGACAUUUGGUUGACUCGCCUUUUUACGUU
RNAcentral lists this small RNA (157 nucleotides) under Arabidopsis thaliana (thale cress). Its description in RNAcentral is "ATSL094830". Lineage: Eukaryota; Viridiplantae; Streptophyta; Magnoliopsida; Brassicales; Brassicaceae. The record is from RNAcentral.